RNAcentral lists this ribosomal RNA (460 nucleotides) under uncultured bacterium. Its description in RNAcentral is "partial 16S ribosomal RNA". It matches the Rfam family "Bacterial small subunit ribosomal RNA", at positions 338 to 795 of the family's 1533-position model. The record is from RNAcentral.
CCUACGGGCGGCAGCAGUGAGGAAUAUUGGUCAAUGGGCGCGAGCCUGAACCAGCCAAGUAGCGUGAAGGAUGACUGUCCUACGGAUCGUAAACUUCUUUUAUAAAGGAAUAAAGUGCGGCACGUGUGCCGUUUUGUAUGUACUUUAUGAAUAAGGAUCGGCUAACUCCGUGCCAGCAGCCGCGGUAAUACGGAGGAUCCGAGCGUUAUCCGGAUUUAUUGGGUUUAAAGGGUGCGUAGAUGGGUUGUUAAGUCAGUGGUGAAAGUUUGCGGCUCAACCGUAAAAUUGCAAUUGAUACUGGCAGCCUUGAGUAUAGUUGAGGUAGGCGGAAUGCGUGGUGUAGCGGUGAAAUGCUUAGAUAUCACGAAGAACCCCGAUUGCGAAGGUAGCCUACUAAGCUGCCACUGACAUUGAUGCUCGAAAGUGUGGGUAUCAAACAGGAUUAGAUACCCUGGUAGUC